AGUGAACGCUGGCGGUAGGCCUAACACAUGCAAGUCGAACGGCAGCACAGUAAGAGCUUGCUCUUACGGGUGGCGAGUGGCGGACGGGCGAGGAAUACAUCGGAAUCUACUUUUUCGUGGGGGAUAACGUAGGGAAACUUACGCUAAUACCGCAUACGACCUACGGGUGAAAGCAGGGGAUCUUCUGACUUUGCGCGAUUGAAUGAGCCGAUGUCGGAUUAGCUAGUUGGCGGGGUAAAGGCCCACCAAGGCGACGAUCCGUAGCUGGUCUGAGAGGAUGAUCAGCCACACUGGAACUGAGACACGGUCCAGACUCCUACGGGAGGCAGCAGUGGGGAAUAUUGGACAAUGGGCGCAAGCCUGAUCCAGCCAUACCGCGUGGGUGAAGAAGGCCUUCGGGUUGUAAAGCCCUUUUGUUGGGAAAGAAAAGCAGCAGGUUAAUACCCCGCUGUUCUGACGGUACCCAAAGAAUAAGCACCGGCUAACUUCGUG
Molecule: ribosomal RNA, 492 nt
Filed under: uncultured bacterium
Lineage: Bacteria
Description: partial 16S ribosomal RNA
Rfam family: Bacterial small subunit ribosomal RNA
Source: RNAcentral